GCACCUAUCGUCUAAUGGUUAGGACAACUGCCUUUCGAGCAGUGAAUCGGAGUUCGAUUCUCCGUGGGUGUA
This 72-nucleotide transfer RNA is filed under the name Pectobacterium phage My1. It matches the Rfam family "tRNA". From Rfam's summary of the family: Transfer RNA (tRNA) molecules are approximately 80 nucleotides in length. Lineage: Duplodnaviria; Heunggongvirae; Uroviricota; Caudoviricetes; Demerecviridae. The record is from Rfam by way of RNAcentral.